Molecule: non-coding RNA, 1628 nt
Organism: Tetranychus urticae (two-spotted spider mite)
Lineage: Eukaryota; Metazoa; Arthropoda; Arachnida; Trombidiformes; Tetranychidae
Source: RefSeq, a predicted model, not a curated record
AUGAGCUCUUUCUUUAGGAUCUCGGAUCAAUAAGAUUCUCUUGACUGGGAAAGGAUAUUUUGGUCUUUUAUUUGCCGGUAAUGAUUGGCCCUGCACAGGAAAAAUUUCGUGAACGAAUCAAAAUAGCCAAAUAGGGAUGAAGAGAAGAAUAACAAAAAUGACAUUAUUUAAUUAAUAAUGUUGAAAAUUUGAGAUAAACAUAAACAGACAAGACCAGGCAACACAAAAGACAAAAAACGGUUAAUUUGAGAAGGGGGAAAGAAGAUAUGAAAGAGUUGCAUUAUCGGUUACCAAUGGCAAUGGAACAAAGAAACAAUAAAACGGUUAGACAAUUAAAAACAAAUGAAAUAUGAUCUUCUCAACUCUGCAAUCCAUUUUUCAUUACAAAAUUAUAAUUAACGUGUUUUGUUGUUGUUUAAGUAUUAAUUAAGAUUUUUGUUUAUGUGCUCAACAAGAUAAUUUAUCAAAUCAAUGGGAACAAACAAUUAGCAUGCUGUUCACUUGAGUUUAUUUUAACUAACAAAGCUUAUUCCAGAUCAUGUCUUAUGACGAUAUCGUUUGGUUGUGUUUUUUUCAUACAAAAAUGGAUCAAAUAUUUUUCCGAAUAUUGUGAACUUUGGAGUUACAUGAAUUUAAGGAAUUGAAAUAGAUGGGUCAAACAAACAAGCAAUUUAUUAUCUACUUUGUAAUGAAUGCGUACGUCUUGCUUACUUGGGACGGCAGAUUGUGAUUUGCAACAUAAUUUGGUCCGUUAUAAUUUGGCUGAUAAUCAGUUGUCACUGGUCGAUUAAUUCCGUUCCCUGGUUUUUGGAUGAGAAGAAAGAAAUAUUCCAUUGGAUAAAGAAGCAAUCAAAGAAUGGUGCCAGCGAACAUUUUUUUGGCUUAAAAUUUGACAGAUACAAAGGAAUGGAGUAAAAUUAGAAGUCACGUCCAGUUGAAAUUUGAUCGGUUUGAAAUGAUCAAGUCAUUCCUCAGCGAAUGCUUUAAAGUCAUAAUUCAAUUCAUUUUUCACAGCAAUAGUGAAAUAAAUACUUCAUUGUCUUCCGAUGAAAUUGAAUCCCAUUAGAAUAACGUUUUAAAAAUGUGUGUUACCUAAAUAAUGUUACUUGAUUGAUUCUUCUGGAAAGCAAAAGUAUUUUUAUCCACUAACAUGGAAACAUAAUGAACAUUUUCUUAUAUUUGUUAUUGCUGUAAUAAUGAAGUUCGUGUUAUCUUGAACAAAAAUGCAAUCAAACAUUGUUUAAAGCAAAUCUGGUUCAGUAUACUUUCAAUUCAUUGAAAGAUAUCUUUUAUUAUUUCUCAAAAUUUUUAAAGGUUAUCCCAUCAUCAACGUAACAAUCUGUUAACCUUUUUUGAUCGACUCUGAUAGAGGCCUGUGAAGAUGAAAGGGGCGAAGGAAAAACGUAGGAAAGGAUGGAAAAGAAGAGAACAAAAAAAAGUACAAAGAAAAGAAUAAUAUAUUCAAAUGAAAUUAAAAAGAAACUAUAAAUAUUUAAUCACAAUGGUGCAGGUAAAAAUAUCGUGUUCAACUGAAGCAGGCAACAAUCAAAAGGAGCAAAAGAUGUGUAAUUUAUUGGUGAAAGCCACAGCCAAUUCGUAUCAUGCAUAUACACACUUCUUUUUCUCAA